This 2900-nucleotide ribosomal RNA is filed under the name Klebsiella pneumoniae BWH 46. Its description in RNAcentral is "bacterial LSU rRNA". It matches the Rfam family "Bacterial large subunit ribosomal RNA". The record is from RNAcentral. Lineage: Bacteria; Pseudomonadati; Pseudomonadota; Gammaproteobacteria; Enterobacterales; Enterobacteriaceae.
UUAAGCGACUAAGCGUACACGGUGGAUGCCCUGGCAGUCAGAGGCGAUGAAGGACGUGCUAAUCUGCGAAAAGCGUCGGUAAGGUGAUAUGAACCGUUAUAGCCGGCGAUGUCCGAAUGGGGAAACCCAGUGCAAUUCGUUGCACUAUCGUUAACUGAAUACAUAGGUUAACGAGGCGAACCGGGGGAACUGAAACAUCUAAGUACCCCGAGGAAAAGAAAUCAACCGAGAUUCCCCCAGUAGCGGCGAGCGAACGGGGAGCAGCCCAGAGUCUGAAUCAGCUUGUGUGUUAGUGGAACGGUCUGGAAAGUCCGACGGUACAGGGUGAUAGUCCCGUACACCAAAAUGCACAGGCUGUGAACUCGAAGAGUAGGGCGGGACACGUGGUAUCCUGUCUGAAUAUGGGGGGACCAUCCUCCAAGGCUAAAUACUCCUGACUGACCGAUAGUGAACCAGUACCGUGAGGGAAAGGCGAAAAGAACCCCGGCGAGGGGAGUGAAAAAGAACCUGAAACCGUGUACGUACAAGCAGUGGGAGCACCUUCGGGUGUGACUGCGUACCUUUUGUAUAAUGGGUCAGCGACUUAUAUUCUGUAGCAAGGUUAACCGUAUAGGGGAGCCGCAGGGAAACCGAGUCUUAACUGGGCGUUAAGUUGCAGGGUAUAGACCCGAAACCCGGUGAUCUAGCCAUGGGCAGGUUGAAGGUUGGGUAACACUAACUGGAGGACCGAACCGACUAAUGUUGAAAAAUUAGCGGAUGACUUGUGGCUGGGGGUGAAAGGCCAAUCAAACCGGGAGAUAGCUGGUUCUCCCCGAAAGCUAUUUAGGUAGCGCCUCGUGAACUCAUCUUCGGGGGUAGAGCACUGUUUCGGCUAGGGGGUCAUCCCGACUUACCAACCCGAUGCAAACUACGAAUACCGAAGAAUGUUAUCACGGGAGACACACGGCGGGUGCUAACGUCCGUCGUGAAGAGGGAAACAACCCAGACCGCCAGCUAAGGUCCCAAAGUCAUGGUUAAGUGGGAAACGAUGUGGGAAGGCACAGACAGCCAGGAUGUUGGCUUAGAAGCAGCCAUCAUUUAAAGAAAGCGUAAUAGCUCACUGGUCGAGUCGGCCUGCGCGGAAGAUGUAACGGGGCUAAACCAUGCACCGAAGCUGCGGCAGCGACACUAUGUGUUGUUGGGUAGGGGAGCGUUCUGUAAGCCUGCGAAGGUGACCUGUGAGGGUUGCUGGAGGUAUCAGAAGUGCGAAUGCUGACAUAAGUAACGAUAAAGCGGGUGAAAAGCCCGCUCGCCGGAAGACCAAGGGUUCCUGUCCAACGUUAAUCGGGGCAGGGUGAGUCGACCCCUAAGGCGAGGCCGAAAGGCGUAGUCGAUGGGAAACAGGUUAAUAUUCCUGUACUUGGUGUUACUGCGAAGGGGGGACGGAGAAGGCUAUGUUAGCCGGGCGACGGUUGUCCCGGUUUAAGCAUGUAGGCUGGUUGUCCAGGCAAAUCCGGAUAAUCAAGGCUGAGGUGUGAUGACGAGGCACUACGGUGCUGAAGUAACAAAUGCCCUGCUUCCAGGAAAAGCCUCUAAGCAUCAGGUAACAUUAAAUCGUACCCCAAACCGACACAGGUGGUCAGGUAGAGAAUACCAAGGCGCUUGAGAGAACUCGGGUGAAGGAACUAGGCAAAAUGGUGCCGUAACUUCGGGAGAAGGCACGCUGGUGUGUAGGUGAAGCCCCUGCGGGUGGAGCUGAGACCAGUCGAAGAUACCAGCUGGCUGCAACUGUUUAUUAAAAACACAGCACUGUGCAAACACGAAAGUGGACGUAUACGGUGUGACGCCUGCCCGGUGCCGGAAGGUUAAUUGAUGGGGUUAUCCGUAAGGAGAAGCUCUUGAUCGAAGCCCCGGUAAACGGCGGCCGUAACUAUAACGGUCCUAAGGUAGCGAAAUUCCUUGUCGGGUAAGUUCCGACCUGCACGAAUGGCGUAAUGAUGGCCAGGCUGUCUCCACCCGAGACUCAGUGAAAUUGAACUCGCUGUGAAGAUGCAGUGUACCCGCGGCAAGACGGAAAGACCCCGUGAACCUUUACUAUAGCUUGACACUGAACAUUGAGCCUUGAUGUGUAGGAUAGGUGGGAGGCUUUGAAGCGUGGACGCCAGUCUGCGUGGAGCCAACCUUGAAAUACCACCCUUUAAUGUUUGAUGUUCUAACGUUGGCCCCUUACCGGGGUUGCGGACAGUGUCUGGUGGGUAGUUUGACUGGGGCGGUCUCCUCCCAAAGCGUAACGGAGGAGCACGAAGGUUAGCUAAUCCUGGUCGGACAUCAGGAGGUUAGUGCAAUGGCAUAAGCUAGCUUGACUGCGAGCGUGACGGCGCGAGCAGGUGCGAAAGCAGGUCAUAGUGAUCCGGUGGUUCUGAAUGGAAGGGCCAUCGCUCAACGGAUAAAAGGUACUCCGGGGAUAACAGGCUGAUACCGCCCAAGAGUUCAUAUCGACGGCGGUGUUUGGCACCUCGAUGUCGGCUCAUCACAUCCUGGGGCUGAAGUAGGUCCCAAGGGUAUGGCUGUUCGCCAUUUAAAGUGGUACGCGAGCUGGGUUUAGAACGUCGUGAGACAGUUCGGUCCCUAUCUGCCGUGGGCGCUGGAGAAUUGAGGGGGGCUGCUCCUAGUACGAGAGGACCGGAGUGGACGCAUCACUGGUGUUCGGGUUGUCAUGCCAAUGGCACUGCCCGGUAGCUAAAUGCGGAAGAGAUAAGUGCUGAAAGCAUCUAAGCACGAAACUUGCCCCGAGAUGAGUUCUCCCUGAGACUUUAAGUCUCCUGAAGGAACGUUGAAGACGACGACGUUGAUAGGCCGGGUGUGUAAGCGCAGCGAUGCGUUGAGCUAACCGGUACUAAUGAACCGUGAGGCUUAACCUU